This 801-nucleotide ribosomal RNA is filed under the name uncultured marine bacterium. RNAcentral's name for it is "bacterial SSU rRNA". It matches the Rfam family "Bacterial small subunit ribosomal RNA", at positions 45 to 845 of the family's 1533-position model. The record is from RNAcentral.
GGCCUACAUAUGCAAGUCGAACGGUAACAUGAGAGCUUGCUCUUGAUGACGAGUGGCGCACGGGUGCGUAACGCGUAUGCAAUCUACCUAUAACUGAGGAAUAGCCCAGAGAAAUUUGGAUUAAUACCUCAUAAUAAUAUUUUUUGGCAUCAUUAAAUAUUUAAAACUCCGGUGGUUAUAGAUGAGCAUGCGUUCUAUUAGUUUGUUGGUGAGGUAAAAGCUCACCAAGACUACGAUAGAUAGGGGGCCUGAAAGGGUGAUCCCCCACACUGGUACUGAGACACGGACCAGACUCCUACGGGAGGCAGCAGCGAGGAAUAUUGCACAAUGGAGGAAACUCUGAUGCAGCCAUGCCGCGUGCAGGAUGACGGCCCUACGGGUUGUAAACUGCUUUUUUACAAGAAGAAACCUUGGUACGUGUACCAACUUGACGGUAUUGUAAGAAUAAGCACCGGCUAACUCCGUGCCAGCAGCCGCGGUAAUACGGAGGGUGCAAGCGUUAUCCGGAUUUAUUAGGUUUAAAGGGUUCGCAGGCGGAAUUUUAAGUCAGUGGUGAAAGCCUAUAGCUCAACUAUAGAACUGCCACUGAUACUGAUAUUCUUGAGUGUAGAUGAAGUGGGCGGAAUAUGUCAUGUAGCGGUGAAAUGCAUAGAUAUGUCAUGGAACACCAAUUGCGAAGGCAGCUCACUAAACUAUUACUGACGCUCAUGGACGAAAGCAUGGGGAGCGAACAGGAUUAGAUACCCUGGUAGUCCAUGCCGUAAACUAUGAUCACUAGAUGUUGGCGAUAUACUGUCAGUG